This 667-nucleotide ribosomal RNA is filed under the name uncultured bacterium. Its description in RNAcentral is "bacterial SSU rRNA". It matches the Rfam family "Bacterial small subunit ribosomal RNA", at positions 124 to 810 of the family's 1533-position model. The record is from RNAcentral.
ACCUGCCUUACACAGGAGAAUAGCCUCGGGAAACUGGGAUUAAUGCUCCAUGACAUAUCUUGGUCGCAUGGCUGGGAUAUCAAAGUGAUAGCGGUGUAAGAUGGACUCGCGUCUGAUUAGCUAGUUGGUGGGGUAAAGGCCUACCAAGGCGACGAUCAGUAGCCGGCCUGAGAGGGUGAACGGCCACACUGGAACUGAGACACGGUCCAGACUCCUACGGGAGGCAGCAGUGGGGAAUAUUGCACAAUGGGGGAAACCCUGAUGCAGCGACGCCGCGUGAGCGAAGAAGGUUUUCGGAUCGUAAAGCUCUGUCCUUGGAGAAGAUAAUGACGGUAUCCAAGGAGGAAGCCCCGGCUAACUACGUGCCAGCAGCCGCGGUAAUACGUAGGGGGCGAGCGUUGUCCGGAAUUACUGGGCGUAAAGGGUACGCAGGCGGUUUCAUAAGUCAGGUGUAAAAGGCAUUGGCUCAACCAAUGUAAGCAUUUGAAACUGUGAGGCUUGAGUAUAGGAGAGGUAAGUGGAAUUCCUAGUGUAGCGGUGAAAUGCGUAGAUAUUAGGAGGAACACCAGUGGCGAAGGCGACUUACUGGACUAUAACUGACGCUGAGGUACGAAAGCGUGGGGAGCAAACAGGAUUAGAUACCCUGGUAGUCCACGCUGUAAACGAU